UACGUAGGGUGCAGGCGUUAAUCGGAAUUACUGGGCGUAAAGCGUGCGCAGGCGGCUCCUUAAGUCAGAUGUGAAAGCCCCGGGCUUAACCUGGGAACCGCGUUUGAAACUGGGGAGCUAGAGUGUAGAAGAGGGGGGUGGAAUUCCAGGUGUAGCAGUGAAAUGCGUAGAUAUCUGGAGGAACACCGAUGGCGAAGGCAGCCCCCUGGGCUAACACUGACGCUCAUGCACGAAAGCGUGGGGAGCAAACAGG
RNAcentral lists this ribosomal RNA (253 nucleotides) under uncultured bacterium. RNAcentral's name for it is "partial 16S ribosomal RNA". It matches the Rfam family "Bacterial small subunit ribosomal RNA", at positions 524 to 776 of the family's 1533-position model. The record is from RNAcentral.